Molecule: ribosomal RNA, 157 nt
Filed under: Fagonia paulayana
Lineage: Eukaryota; Viridiplantae; Streptophyta; Magnoliopsida; Zygophyllales; Zygophyllaceae
Description: 5.8 ribosomal RNA
Rfam family: 5.8S ribosomal RNA
About the family: 5.8S ribosomal RNA (5.8S rRNA) is a component of the large subunit of the eukaryotic ribosome.
Source: RNAcentral
CAAAAUGACUCUCGGCAACGGAUAUCUCGGCUCUCGCAUCGAUGAAGAACGUAGCGAAAUGCGAUACUUGGUGUGAAUUGCAGAAUCCANNGAACCAUCGAGUCUUUGAACGCAAGUUGCGCCCGAAGCNUUCGGGCUAAGGGCACGUCUGCNUGGG